Molecule: long non-coding RNA, 2434 nt
Organism: Xiphophorus hellerii (green swordtail)
Lineage: Eukaryota; Metazoa; Chordata; Actinopteri; Cyprinodontiformes; Poeciliidae
Exons: 2
Source: RefSeq, a predicted model, not a curated record
UCAAACCUUCUCUGAACCAACCCUUUCUUUACUUUACAUAUCGCAAAAUAACAUUUUAGCUGUGCUAGCCGCUAAAUGUUUGCUUGCUCUCACUGAGAUAAAAUAUGUCCCAACAAUCUGAAUAACCCUGACUGGUUUCUAUGCUGAUGAUAAGGAGCAGGAUUGUGUGGCGAAUAUAAUUUUAUCAGCUCGUUCCUCAGAAGGGUGUUGUCCACUGUGGGGCCGUUUCAAUCUGUUUCCAGACCAGAGUGAACCACUUUCUGGGUUUACAGUCAAGCUGGCGUGGCUUUGCAGACGUCCAAUUGGCACAGUUUUGCGCACAGGCAUAUGUGGAGGAUUUACCGGCAUUAAGCAGACACUGCUAAACCCUCAGUCAACCCUUGAGUCAGGUCAAAGGUCAGACAGAUAGCAAGCCUCUCACAUCUACCCCUGGAGAAACCUGUUGAGGUGACUUCAUGCAUGCCUGUAUAGAAUAGGCUUUAACCUUCUAAUCCCGUUUAGCCCGAAAGGUGCACAGUGACCACAGGGAGUGUCUGUUAAAUUAGUAGCUGUUCCAUUUGCUGCCGGCAUGUUGUGGCUUAGUAAGCUUUUUAAAACCUCUGACCUCCAGCAGUAAUGCAGGUGCUUGGAGGAUUUUAAUAAAUGCUGAUCAUUUUAAAUACCAGCGGCGUAGGAAGCGGGGGGGACGGGGGGGACAUGUCCCCCCCAAUAUUGAAGCCAGGUGGAUAUGUCCCCCCCAAAAAAUUGUACCGCAAAAUAUUGAAUUUUGACAUUUUUUUAACUAGCGUGCUUUUAUUUUGAAGGCGCAGCAUCGCGUUACGUCACGGUACUCCCCCUCCCCUCUCUGAACUGCUGAGUGAGCACUCAGAAGGGAGGGAAACAGGACACAGAAGUCAGAAACUUGCGAAUGAGGUAAAAUGGUCUGUCGGGAAUGCUGCUAUGAAUAUUGCUUAUUUAUAACGUCUUGUUGUCAGUUCACUUUCAUAUAUAGGAACUGAAUCUUUUUGGUUUAAUCAUCUUAGUCUUGGGAUGAUCACUCAUCCAAUAUUUAACUGCUAACUUUCUCUAGACGUUUGCUACGCUAGCCAAAAUGUCUUUUUUUUAUAUAUAUAUAUCUCAUUUCAGUACAAUGCCACCACCAACUAAAAGGCUGAAACAGCAGCAGGACUUACUCAGCUUUUUUAAAAAGAGUAACGUCAGUGAGCAACAAUGCAGGGACAGCACAAAGGAGACAGGAAAAGGAGAGGAUAGUGCAAACGGGCUAGAGGCAGGAAGUCAGAGUGAGGGAGAGACAGGAGUGGAGCAACAGGUAAGAUAGAGUAACUCAUACGAGUAGAUACUUCAUGAGAGUCCACAAAAAAAGUUGAAAAUUUUAAUCUUUUGCUUGUAGUAAGUGUAGUUCAGGGGCAUUGAGUGACAUUGUAACUUUUCCUUCUAGGGAGUUCAGACUAGGGACACACAGCUGAGAGACUCUGAAGUCAGUGGACAGAGAACAGAGCCAAAUCAGCCACAUCCAAAAUUCAUAGACCCUCAAGCUCUAGCCAACAGAACUUUACAUUUCCAAGGAAAGUGGUACAAGGAAUUUCCCUGGCUACAUUAUGAUGCAGUGAAAAAUGGCAUUUUGUGUUUUUAUUGCAUGGCAAUUUACCAGGACAAACUCACACCAUUUGGUGCAAAAUCCGAACCCGCCUUUAUCACUUCUGGAUUUAAAAAUUGGAAAUUUGUACAUAAAGAUAAACUUGAUUUACUGGACAAGAAGUCAGUUUGCAAGCAAUUUGUGGCUGCAAAUGAAAGGCGGAAAAAACAUUUUGGCUCUUUUGCCUAAGCCAGUGUUUGCCAUCCUUUUAUGUUUCCGGCACAUUUUGGCGAAUUAUAAAUGCAUGGCUGUAAAGUGCAAUUGUUCAGAAGCACAGAGGUGUUGAUCUCUACCUAGGGUUAUGUGGCCUAUAAUCUCUGUGCUAACUGCUUUUCCAACAGUUAAAGCACACUGUAGUCAGUGAGUUAAAAAGCUUGUCUAUUAAAUGUGUAUUUAUUGUUGGUAAAUAUUUCUUCAUUUUUGAUUUGGUUUAAUUAGUCAUACAGUUCGACAAACUGAAUAAGCAUAUUUUGAUUGAUUUUCUUUUCUUCUUUUACUUAAUGUUAAAAGUGUGAAUAAUUUGUUCACUACAUUGUCUGUGAGGGCUCUUUCAUCUCAGAAUUUUGUUUAAUCAAAGAGAUGGUUCUAUGGUCAGUCAACCUAUAUAAAUUCAUUUUUGACCAUUAUUGCAAGUUUGACAAAAUAAAACAUAUCAAACUUUGCACUUGUGUGGCCUACUGAAUUGUUUUUAAUCCAACUGAAAUAUUUGAUUUUCUAGUGUGUAUGCGGACACUAAAUAUGCCAAGGGCUGAAGCCCUUGAAAGACAUCUCCCUUUGCUUAAUAAAAGACUCCAGUCA